ACACAUGCAAGUCGAGGGGCAGCAUCAUUAAAGCUUGCUUUGAUGGAUGGCGACCGGCGCACGGGUGAGUAACACGUAUCCAACCUGCCGACAACACUGGGAUAGCCUUUCGAAAGAAAGAUUAAUACCGGAUGGCAUAGUCUUCCCGCAUGGGAUGACUAUUAAAGAAUUUCGGUUGUCGAUGGGGAUGCGUUCCAUUAGGCAGUUGGCGGGGUAACGGCCCACCAAACCAACGAUGGAUAGGGGUUCUGAGAGGAAGGUCCCCCACAUUGGAACUGAGACACGGUCCAAACUCCUACGGGAGGCAGCAGUGAGGAAUAUUGGUCAAUGGACGAGAGUCUGAACCAGCCAAGUAGCGUGAAGGAUGACUGCCCUAUGGGUUGUAAACUUCUUUUAUACGGGAAUAAAGUGAGCCACGUGUGGCUUUUUGUAUGUACCGUAUGAAUAAGGAUCGGCUAACUCCGUGCCAGCAGCCGCGGUAAUACGGAGGAUCCGAGCGUUAUCCGGAUUUAUUGGGUUUAAAGGGAGCGUAGGCGGGUUGUUAAGUCAGUUGUGAAAGUUUGCGGCUCGACCGUAAAAUUGCAGUUGAUACUGGCGACCUUGAGUGCAACAGAGG
RNAcentral lists this ribosomal RNA (616 nucleotides) under uncultured bacterium. RNAcentral's name for it is "bacterial SSU rRNA". It matches the Rfam family "Bacterial small subunit ribosomal RNA", at positions 51 to 657 of the family's 1533-position model. The record is from RNAcentral.